Molecule: RNA transcript, 2117 nt
Organism: Otolemur garnettii (small-eared galago)
Lineage: Eukaryota; Metazoa; Chordata; Mammalia; Primates; Galagidae
Gene: FAH
Gene name: fumarylacetoacetate hydrolase
Exons: 13
Source: RefSeq, a predicted model, not a curated record
CCCAGUCCAGCCAGGCCCACUGCCCGCCGACCGCUGCCGCGCCCGGUGUUCGCCAGCAUGUCCUUCAUCCCGGUGGCCGAGGAUUCUGACUUCCCCAUCCACAACCUACCCUAUGGCGUCUUCUCCACCGCAGGCAACCCAAGACCCAGGAUCGGCGUGGCCAUAGGCGACCAGAUCCUGGACCUCAGUGUCAUUAACCACCUCUUCACUGGGCCUGUCCUCUCCAAACACCAGGAUGUCUUCUCUCAGCCUGUUCUCAACAGCUUCAUGGGCUUGGGUCAGGCAGCCUGGAAGGAGGCCAGAGCGUGCUUACAGAACUUGCUGUCUGCUGGCCAGGCGAGGCUGAGAGAUGAUGCAGAGCUGCGGAAGCGUGCAUUCACCUCCCAGGCCUCUGCUAUAAUGCACCUGCCAGCCACCAUAGGAGACUACACAGACUUCUAUUCCUCUCGGCAGCAUGCUACCAACGUUGGGAUCAUGUUCAGGGGCAAGGACAAUGCACUGAUGCCGAACUGGCUACACUUACCUGUGGGCUACCAUGGCCGUGCCUCCUCUGUCGUGGUGUCUGGCACCCCGAUCCGAAGGCCCAUGGGACAGAUGAAGCCUGAUGACUCUAAGCCCCCUGUAUAUGGCCCCUGCAAACUCCUGGACAUAGAGUUGGAAAUGGCUUUCUUUGUAGGCCCCGGGAACAGACUCGGGGAGCUGAUCCCCAUCUCCAAGGCCCAUGAGCACAUUUUCGGGAUGGUGCUGAUGAACGACUGGAGUGCUCGAGACAUUCAGAAGUGGGAGUAUGUCCCUCUUGGGCCUUUCCUGGGGAAGAGUUUUGGAACCACCAUCUCUCCGUGGGUGGUGCCCAUGGACGCCCUCCUGCCCUUUGCUGUGCCAAAUCCAGAGCAGGAUCCCAAGCCCCUGCCGUACCUGUGCCACGACCAGCCCUACACGUUUGACAUCGACCUCUCUGUCAUGCUGAAAGGAGAAGGAAUGAGCCACUCAACCACCAUAUGCAGGUCCAAUUUCAAGAGUUGCUGCGACCACCUAGUACACACUUUCUGUGCACGUUCCUGCUGGGUGUAUAUCCAGGAGUGGAAUUGCUGGUCAUAGAGAACAUGCACACUCAGCAUGGAAACCUCCAGUCUCCCAAAGUGCUCACCCUGAUUUACACCUGCUUGCAGCGUUUUAGCAUUUCAGCUGCUCCACGUCCUCGUCAGCAUGAGGUGUCAUUUGCCUGUUCAUUCCAACCAUUCUGGGGGACUGUGAUUUCAGUUUGCAUUUCCCUGGUGAGGGGUGCACCUGGGUGCCUUUGUCGUGUGUUUAUCAUCUGUUUGUUUAGGGCCACUGGAAGACACUCUGAAUCCCUGCAUUUCGAAUUCCCCUCAUCUCCCUUUAAUCUGACAUUAUUCUGGACUCCGUAAGCUAUUAAGAAGCAACAAGGGGGCCUGUUGAGAGGGCUCAUGGCUAAGAACUGUCUCUGGUCUAAGGCUGCCUCUGAGCCUCUCAAUGGCCACAUGGCUCCUUGGCCCCCUCCGUCCACAUCCCAGCCUCCCUGAGUGUUCCUUCUUCCUCAGUCUGCUCUGAUGUCAUAUUAGAAUCAUUCUGCUCCAUUGCCCAAUGUCCCCUCCAAAGCCUGGGAUGGGAGAAUGUGAGUGGGGCAUUUGCUCACAAGAAGCAUCUGCCGAAGUGAGGACCUAGACCCCACCUAGGGCUCAAGGGUGCCCAUGGGCAGCUGAGAAUCACAUACAGAUGGGGAUGCUGCUGACUGGGGGCGAAGCAGUGAGGGGGGCUCUCAGGCAGUGCUUCUUGGAGAAGGAGGUAGAGGAGGAACUAAUCUCCUGGAGGAGGUAGGAGAGAACUUGGGAGGUCCCCAGGCAGCUGUCCAGGAGGACAGUGUGCUGUUGCUCUAAGGGAUCAGGGAGAGUUGGCUGGGGCAGCCAGGAAAGGGCAUGGUGACUGGGUGAGGGUGAGUGUGCACCUGCGGCCCCACUGUGUGCCUCCCACAGUAUAUGUACUGGACAAUGCUGCAGCAGCUCACGCAUCACUCUGUCAAUGGCUGCAAUCUGCGACCAGGGGACCUCUUGGCUUCUGGAACCAUCAGUGGGCCAGAACCAGAAAGCUUUGGCUCC